RNAcentral lists this small RNA (139 nucleotides) under uncultured Sporosarcina sp. RNAcentral describes it as "Ribosomal protein L10 leader". It matches the Rfam family "Ribosomal protein L10 leader". Rfam says of the family: This family is a putative r-protein leader autoregulatory structure found in B. subtilis and other low-GC Gram-positive bacteria. It is located in the 5' untranslated regions of mRNAs encoding ribosomal proteins L10 and L12 (rplJ-rplL). The record is from RNAcentral. Lineage: Bacteria; Bacillati; Bacillota; Bacilli; Caryophanales; Caryophanaceae.
AUAUACGAUUUGUACCGCAGACAGCAGGAGUGGAUUACCACUUAAUAUUCCUGCCGAGGGACAAGACGCUCUUUUUAACAGUAAAAAGAUGACGACUUUCCAACCCUCCGUCUGCCAGUCAGAUCGGAGGGUUUUUUAU